Molecule: long non-coding RNA, 459 nt
Organism: Sebastes umbrosus (honeycomb rockfish)
Lineage: Eukaryota; Metazoa; Chordata; Actinopteri; Perciformes; Sebastidae
Exons: 2
Source: RefSeq, a predicted model, not a curated record
GAAGUUGUAGUUUUAUUGCCUAAACCUAAAGAAACUGUAGUUUUGUUGCCUAAACAUAAAGAAGUUGUAGUUUUAUUGUCUAAACUUAAAGAAGCCUUUUUGUUUGUGUUCCAAACUUGACGUGGCCCCUGUGGAUCCACAUCUAUGGUGCUUAUAGCGACUGAUAACGUCUAUUUAAUGGCCUGAUAACUGUCAAAUCGGUAUUUUUGUAGCUUCCUCUUGGAUGCAUGCUUACGAUCUGGCACCUGGUUGCUACGUUUUUCUAGAGGUUGACUUACAGAAACUUCCUGAACACAGCAAAAUAAGAAAAUACAGGCAGAGGGCAGGGACUCUGCAGAUACAGAAACGCAGUUAAAACAACCAGAGGGCUAAUAGAAAAAUGGCCAAGUGUCAGGGAGAAGAAAACACUGAAUUUGUCAAAAAAAGAAGCCUAUAAAGUAUGAAUGAUUGUUAAAAAUU